This 218-nucleotide microRNA precursor is filed under the name Medicago truncatula (barrel medic). Its description in RNAcentral is "miR2592v stem-loop (mtr-MIR2592v, mtr-MIR2592w, mtr-MIR2592x, mtr-MIR2592y)". Lineage: Eukaryota; Viridiplantae; Streptophyta; Magnoliopsida; Fabales; Fabaceae. The record is from miRBase by way of RNAcentral.
AAACAACAGGACUCAAGCAUUUCGCAAGCACCUCAUGUUUCUCCUUUGAAAAUAUUAAAUUUUUGUUAUGCUGGUUUAGAUGAAGGUAUUAAGUGUCAAGGAUUGAACCUCAAUUCGGUGGCACUUGAAUACCAUCAUCUAAAGCAAGCCUCACAAAAAUUUAUUAUUUUCAAAGGGAAAACAUGAGGUGUUUGGCGAAAUGCUUGAGUCCUGUUGUU